Molecule: unclassified non-coding RNA, 2445 nt
Filed under: Hevea brasiliensis (rubber tree)
Lineage: Eukaryota; Viridiplantae; Streptophyta; Magnoliopsida; Malpighiales; Euphorbiaceae
Source: RNAcentral
GGGAAGGAACAAGGGAAUAAUAAAAUUUGACACAGCUUUCUCUGAGCUCAAGCUUGUGUGGGAGAGUUAUCCAUGGCAACACUAUACAGAGUGAGAUCACUACUUUCUGUCUUCAACACCAAAUCCACACUCUCUACAUAUGCUCCAGUUUGCAGCUUCUCUACAUCACCACCCUGUUCUCAGUUUGAGAGUGUUGGAUUCAUUGGGCUGGGAAAUAUGGGAUCCAGAAUGGCAAACAACCUAAUUAAGGCUGGAUACAAAGUGGUUGUUCAUGACGUAAAUUGUAAUGUCAUCAAGAUGUUUACUGACAAGGGAGUUCCAGCAAAACAAACACCAUUUGAAGUUGCAGAAGCUAGUGAUGUUGUAAUUACAAUGUUACCCUCAUCAUCUCAUGUAUUGGAUGUCUACACUGGACCAAAUGGGUUGCUUGAUGGUGAAAGUCGCCUGAGACCACAUUUGUUUAUAGAUUCAUCAACGAUUGAUCCUGAAACAUCAAGAAAGGUUUCUGCAGCUGUAUCCAACUUCCUUUUAAAAGAAAAGAAAGGUUUUUGGGAGAAACCUGUCAUGUUGGAUGCUCCUGUGUCCGGAGGUGUUCUUGCUGCAGAAGCGGGUACUCUCACUUUUAUGGUUGGUGGCUCUGAGGAUGCUUGUCUGGCUGCCAAACCCUUGUUUCUGUCAAUGGGCAAAAACACUAUCUAUUGUGGUGGAGCAGGAACUGGUUCAGUAUGUUCUCAUAAACACUCCGGGCUAAUAUCCUUCCAUUAACCUUUCUUUUAUUGUAUUUUUUGGUUUAUCUUUCUUUUUUGAGAUUAUUGAUAGGUGAAAUCAGAUUUAUUAUGCAUUUGUAGUUUCUCUUGCAUUUUCCCUUUUCAUAGCUGAUUUUUAUGCUUCUGUGCUUCAAUGAUAAUGGAUUUAUAAUGGGAAUUGUCUGCAUAUAGUCAUCUUUCUUUGUGUAACUGAAAGUUGUACUGGUACCAUAAAAUGAGGAAUUUUCAAUUUCUGGUAAAACGGAUCAUUCAGAGUGCUAAAGAUUGUUGCAACUAGUAUAACUCAUGUCUCAUCCAUUGGUGCUUAUUGUCAAUGCUAGACAUGAAAAAUUAUUGGUUGCAAAAUCCUACGGAUACGUACUAGACUCCAACAGAUGUAAUAGUUCAAAUUGUUAAGUUGACUAUUAUUUCUUUAUGAUUCUAAAGCAUGGCCACUGCUGUAAUGCUACCUCCUGAUCCCUUACAUAUGCCUGGUUGCAAUAUGUAGAUCUUUCCUUGUGAUCUUAGACAUUCUACUAUAUUUUAUUUCCUUAGAAAAACAAACCUAAAUUAAUUUGCUUUGAGGACAUCAGAUACUUAUGUAUGGCAUGCUCUAUAAGCCUGAUAUCUUGGAUUUUGAAGCAGCCAUCUUUCAUGUCUUGGUAUCCAUGUGACAUCUGAAAAUAAGUUGGGCUGUAAUGCAGCCUAUCCAGUGAUUUAAGCUUUCUUUGAUCAAAUGCUUUUCACUGACUAUUUGUACUUAAGUAUUCAUCUGUCUGUUCUGGUUGUUAUCCAGGAUUGAUAUGGUGCAGAUUUCUGUAAAAUGAGAAAAAAUGGGUCUGGUAAAAAACAAAUUGUAAUCAUUCGUGCUUGCAGAAGUAGUCCAAUUUCCAAAUAAAUAUUUUAUUUAGCACUUUAGCUUCACCUGCCUAUAUUCAUAUUUGAGCAUCUGAUAUCUUUAUUGUUUGCUUUGUUAUUUAGGCAGCAAAAAUUUGCAACAAUUUGGCAAUGGCCGUGAGCAUGCUUGGGGUAUCAGAAGCCCUUGCUCUUGGUCAGUCACUUGGAAUUGAAGCUGACACUCUAACAAAGGUUUUUAACUCUUCAAGUGCUCGAUGUUGGAGUAGUGAUAGUUAUAACCCAGUUCCUGGAGUUAUGGAAGGGGUGCCUGCUUCAAUGGAUUAUGCUGGUGGAUUUGCAUCUAAGCUCAUGGCCAAAGACUUGAGCCUUGUUGCAGCAUCAGCUAAAGCAGUCGGUCUUAAAUGCCCUCUGACAUCCCAAGCAUUAGAGAUAUACACAAAGCUGUGCAAGGAUGGUCAUGAAAUGAAGGACUUCUCCUGCGCUUUCCGCCAUUAUUACUUUGGUAAGGAUGAGCAGUAGCUUGAUCAAUGAGAGUUGCUGAUUAUAUAAGAUCCUCAAGCAAGGAUGGAGCAGGGGCUUCCUACUUGGGACCGAGUCUAGCCUGGAUUUUUUGUUGGUGACCAUCGCCAACAAAUUAUCUGCGCCAGAUAUUGAAAUACUUGGAGCUUCACCCAAUUCUCAACAUUUCCUGUAGUACAUAGAAUUUGAAGUGGAGUUUUUGGUUAGUGCUAAUUGAAUCAAGUAUUGUCCUUUCAGUAUAAAUAAAUGCUAAAAUGAAUCCUGUAACAUUUUCCAUAGCCUGAUGGCAAUGAUAAUGAAUCAUUAUGGUUUUUCACAGAUU